UUUAAAGGCCAAGACACUGAAGUCCUCCAUUUUUUCGCAGAACAUGGACAGCAGCAAUUCAACUUUUCCCCACACUGCCUUGCCAAAUGUGCUUCGACCCUGACCUGGGGGGCCCACCGCUGGGGUGAUGGGGUGGCUCAUUCAUUCAUUCCCUGGCCAUUCUUCUGAAACU
RNAcentral lists this small RNA (172 nucleotides) under Jaculus jaculus (lesser Egyptian jerboa). RNAcentral's name for it is "TUC338 (ENSJJAG00000007765.1)". Lineage: Eukaryota; Metazoa; Chordata; Mammalia; Rodentia; Dipodidae. The record is from RNAcentral.